Molecule: ribosomal RNA, 1207 nt
Filed under: Derotettix mendosensis
Lineage: Eukaryota; Metazoa; Arthropoda; Insecta; Hemiptera; Cicadidae
Description: 16S ribosomal RNA
Rfam family: Archaeal large subunit ribosomal RNA (bases 984-1142)
Source: RNAcentral
AUAAUUAUAAUAUAUUAAAUAAAUUAUAUAAUAUAAAUAUUUUUAGAGUUUAAGUAUUUAUUAUAAAAAUAAUAAUUUUAAAUUACCGGUUGGGUAAAUUAAAUGUGUUGAAGUAUAAAUUAUUUAGUACCUUUUGUAUCAGGGUGAGUUAACAUUAUUAUAUGUAUAUAUAUUUCCCUAAAUAAGAAGAAUUAAGAUGAUUUGAUAGUUAUUGUAACAUAAUUAUUAUUAAAAUCUUCUUGGUAAUGAAAUUUUAUCGAUUCUUAUGAUAUUUGGUUUCCUAAGAAUUAAAUUUAAUUUAGGAUUAUAAAGUAUUUUAAUAAUUUUUUUUAUUUUAUUAUUUAAUCUAAAAUUAAUUGGGAUAAGCUAAUUAAUUAAUCUAUAAUUAAUUAUGAUAUUAAUUUAAUAGGCUUGAAAACAGCUCUUUAUUAAUAAGUUAAAUUUAAAUUAUCAUUUUAAAUCAUAUUUAAUAUAAUUUAGAAUAUUUAUUAGGAAAUUUUUAUUAAUAAGUUAAAUAAAUAUAUAUUGAUUCAAUAAGUAAAAAAAAAAUUAAUAUGAAUCAUGAACUCGGCAAAUAUGAUUUUCGCCUGUUUAUCAAAAACAUGUCUUUUAGAUUAUAUUAAAAGUUUAGUCUGCCCAAUGAUAAUUGAAUGGCCGCGGUAUCCUAACCGUGCAAAGGUAGCAUAAUAAUUAGUCUUUUAAUUGAAGGCUUGCAUGAAUGAUUGGACGAAAAAUAAUCUUUAUUAUUUAUAUAAUUUGAAUUUAAUUUUUAAGUUAAAAAGCUUAAAUAUUAUUGCGGGACGAGAAGACCCUGUAGAGUUUUAUAUAUUUAAUAUUUAUUAAAUUUUGGAUGAUUACAUUAAAAUAAUUAUUUAAAUAUAUUUUGUUGGGGUGACAUUAAAAUAAAUUAACUUUUAAUUAAAAUAUCAUUAAUUAGUGAUAAUAGAUCUUAAAUAUAAAAUAUAAGAUUAAAUUACCUCAGGGAUAACAGCGUAAUUAAUUUGUAGAGUUCUUAUCGAUAAAUUAGUUUGCGACCUCGAUGUUGGAUUAAGAAAAGAAAAUAAAGCAGAAUUUAUUAUUCUAGGUCUGUUCGACCUUUAAAUUCUUACAUGAUCUGAGUUCAGACCGGUGUAAACCAGGUUGGUUUCUAUCUACAAUUAUUUUUUUAACAUUAGUACGAAAGGACCGUGUUAAAUAAUUAAAUUAU